This 230-nucleotide long non-coding RNA is filed under the name Elaeis guineensis (African oil palm). Its description in RNAcentral is "long non-coding RNA (EGUI_LNC031147)". Lineage: Eukaryota; Viridiplantae; Streptophyta; Magnoliopsida; Arecales; Arecaceae. The record is from RNAcentral.
UUCGAUAAAUCCUUCUUUAUCAAUUACUUUAUAGUUCUAAGUACUUCAUCACAACAUAAAAGUUCUAACAAGGAAGAUAUAACUUUAUGAUGAAAGAUGCCAAAAUAACUUUUAUUCAAUGAUUAAAUGAUUCAUAUACAUAUUACAAAAGGAGCAUAAUUAUCCAUACGAUUGGCUUUAAGAUACAUUUCCUAAUAUUUUUUGCUGCUGGUGGUGUGGAGAAGAUAGAG